CCCGCUGUACGACCAGCGGUAGCCUAGGAAGGCAAUCAUCGUUGGUAACGACGUUGGUUGAAGCCCUUCCGACAACGUAGUCCGAAAGUGUGCCCCGUCGCGAGACGUGGCAUAGACGCUCCGAGCAGCGAUGGGGCUGAGACG
Molecule: non-coding RNA, 144 nt
Filed under: Paraburkholderia sp. GV068
Lineage: Bacteria; Pseudomonadati; Pseudomonadota; Betaproteobacteria; Burkholderiales; Burkholderiaceae
Also listed under: 1 other name
Source: RNAcentral